UGGCGGGUAGCGCAGCUUGGUAGCGCGCCGAAAAUAUCCUUUUUCACAACUUGUCUGCAAAGACCGACGAAUGAGGGUUAUCGCAUUUUAAGCCGGAUGUCGCAGGUUCAAAUCCUGCUCCGCCAC
Molecule: transfer RNA, 126 nt
Filed under: Scytonema hofmannii FACHB-248
Lineage: Bacteria; Bacillati; Cyanobacteriota; Cyanophyceae; Nostocales; Scytonemataceae
Description: tRNA-OTHER
Source: RNAcentral